AUUGGCCCUUAUUGGAGCCAUGCCCAUUCUCCUGUAGUGGGCCUGUUCAAAGAGGAGCCAAAAGUGCCACUUUUCCCAACGGUGGCUGCUCAGUUUCUAUGGUAACUGACAGCGACUUUAAGGGAAAGGACACGC
Molecule: small nucleolar RNA, 135 nt
Organism: Anguilla anguilla (European eel)
Lineage: Eukaryota; Metazoa; Chordata; Actinopteri; Anguilliformes; Anguillidae
Source: RefSeq, a predicted model, not a curated record